RNAcentral lists this ribosomal RNA (189 nucleotides) under Escherichia coli. RNAcentral describes it as "partial 16S ribosomal RNA". It matches the Rfam family "Bacterial small subunit ribosomal RNA", at positions 1 to 181 of the family's 1533-position model. Lineage: Bacteria; Pseudomonadati; Pseudomonadota; Gammaproteobacteria; Enterobacterales; Enterobacteriaceae. The record is from RNAcentral.
UUAAAUUGAAGAGUUUGAUCAUGGCUCAGAUUGAACGCUGGCGGCAGGCCUAACACAUGCAAGUCGAACGGUAACAGAAAGCAGCUUGCUGCUUUGCUGACGAGUGGCGGACGGGUGAGUAAUGUCUGGGAAACUGCCUGAUGGAGGGGGAUAACUACUGGAAACGGUAGCUAAUACCGCAUAACGUCG